This 333-nucleotide RNase P RNA is filed under the name uncultured Lacrimispora sp. Its description in RNAcentral is "Bacterial RNase P class A". It matches the Rfam family "Bacterial RNase P class A". Rfam says of the family: Ribonuclease P (RNase P) is a ubiquitous endoribonuclease, found in archaea, bacteria and eukarya as well as chloroplasts and mitochondria. Its best characterised activity is the generation of mature 5'-ends of tRNAs by cleaving the 5'-leader elements of precursor-tRNAs. The record is from RNAcentral. Lineage: Bacteria; Bacillati; Bacillota; Clostridia; Lachnospirales; Lachnospiraceae.
AAAUGGCCGCAGCUGCAAAGCCGAAAGGCUGCAGAUGAGGAAAGUCCGGGCUUCACAGGGCAGGAUGCCAGAUAACGUCUGGCGGAGGCGACUCUAGGGAAAGUGCAACAGAAAUAUACCGCCGCAUUAUGCGGUAAGGGUGGAAAGGUGGUGUAAGAGACCACCGCCCUUCUGGUAACAGGAGGGGUCCAUGUAAACCCCAUCCGAAGCAAGACCGAACAGGGAGCAUAAGGCGGCCCGUCUGCUCCCGGGUAGGUCGCUUGAGCCUGCCGGCGACGGCAGGCCUAGAUAGAUGGCCAUUCAACGACAUAACCCGGCUUAUCGUCUUGCUCA